GGUUAAGCGACUAAGCGUACACGGUGGAUGCCCUGGCAGUCAGAGGCGAUGAAGGACGUGCUAAUCUGCGAAAAGCGUCGGUAAGGUGAUAUGAACCGUUAUCACCGGCGAUGUCCGAAUGGGGAAACCCAGUGCAAUUCGUUGCACUAUCGUUAACUGAAUACAUAGGUUAACGAGGCGAACCGGGGGAACUGAAACAUCUAAGUACCCCGAGGAAAAGAAAUCAACCGAGAUUCCCCCAGUAGCGGCGAGCGAACGGGGAGCAGCCCAGAGUCUGAAUCAGCUUGUGUGUUAGUGGAACGGUCUGGAAAGUCCGACGGUACAGGGUGAUAGUCCCGUACACCAAAAUGCACAGGCUGUGAACUCGAAGAGUAGGGCGGGACACGUGGUAUCCUGUCUGAAUAUGGGGGGACCAUCCUCCAAGGCUAAAUACUCCUGACUGACCGAUAGUGAACCAGUACCGUGAGGGAAAGGCGAAAAGAACCCCGGCGAGGGGAGUGAAAAAGAACCUGAAACCGUGUACGUACAAGCAGUGGGAGCACCUUCGGGUGUGACUGCGUACCUUUUGUAUAAUGGGUCAGCGACUUAUAUUCUGUAGCAAGGUUAACCGUAUAGGGGAGCCGCAGGGAAACCGAGUCUUAACUGGGCGUUAAGUUGCAGGGUAUAGACCCGAAACCCGGUGAUCUAGCCAUGGGCAGGUUGAAGGUUGGGUAACACUAACUGGAGGACCGAACCGACUAAUGUUGAAAAAUUAGCGGAUGACUUGUGGCUGGGGGUGAAAGGCCAAUCAAACCGGGAGAUAGCUGGUUCUCCCCGAAAGCUAUUUAGGUAGCGCCUCGUGAACUCAUCUUCGGGGGUAGAGCACUGUUUCGGCUAGGGGGUCAUCCCGACUUACCAACCCGAUGCAAACUACGAAUACCGAAGAAUGUUAUCACGGGAGACACACGGCGGGUGCUAACGUCCGUCGUGAAGAGGGAAACAACCCAGACCGCCAGCUAAGGUCCCAAAGUCAUGGUUAAGUGGGAAACGAUGUGGGAAGGCACAGACAGCCAGGAUGUUGGCUUAGAAGCAGCCAUCAUUUAAAGAAAGCGUAAUAGCUCACUGGUCGAGUCGGCCUGCGCGGAAGAUGUAACGGGGCUAAACCAUGCACCGAAGCUGCGGCAGCGACACUAUGUGUUGUUGGGUAGGGGAGCGUUCUGUAAGCCUGCGAAGGUGUGCUGUGAGGCAUGCUGGAGGUAUCAGAAGUGCGAAUGCUGACAUAAGUAACGAUAAAGCGGGUGAAAAGCCCGCUCGCCGGAAGACCAAGGGUUCCUGUCCAACGUUAAUCGGGGCAGGGUGAGUCGACCCCUAAGGCGAGGCCGAAAGGCGUAGUCGAUGGGAAACAGGUUAAUAUUCCUGUACUUGGUGUUACUGCGAAGGGGGGACGGAGAAGGCUAUGUUAGCCGGGCGACGGUUGUCCCGGUUUAAGCAUGUAGGCUGAUUGUCCAGGCAAAUCCGGAUAAUCAAGGCUGAGGUGUGAUGACGAGGCACUACGGUGCUGAAGUAACAAAUGCCCUGCUUCCAGGAAAAGCCUCUAAGCAUCAGGUAACAUCAAAUCGUACCCCAAACCGACACAGGUGGUCAGGUAGAGAAUACCAAGGCGCUUGAGAGAACUCGGGUGAAGGAACUAGGCAAAAUGGUGCCGUAACUUCGGGAGAAGGCACGCUGGUGUGUAGGUGAAGUCCCUGCGGAUGGAGCUGAGACCAGUCGAAGAUACCAGCUGGCUGCAACUGUUUAUUAAAAACACAGCACUGUGCAAACACGAAAGUGGACGUAUACGGUGUGACGCCUGCCCGGUGCCGGAAGGUUAAUUGAUGGGGUUAUCCGUAAGGAGAAGCUCUUGAUCGAAGCCCCGGUAAACGGCGGCCGUAACUAUAACGGUCCUAAGGUAGCGAAAUUCCUUGUCGGGUAAGUUCCGACCUGCACGAAUGGCGUAAUGAUGGCCAGGCUGUCUCCACCCGAGACUCAGUGAAAUUGAACUCGCUGUGAAGAUGCAGUGUACCCGCGGCAAGACGGAAAGACCCCGUGAACCUUUACUAUAGCUUGACACUGAACAUUGAGCCUUGAUGUGUAGGAUAGGUGGGAGGCUUUGAAGCGUGGACGCCAGUCUGCGUGGAGCCAACCUUGAAAUACCACCCUUUAAUGUUUGAUGUUCUAACGUUGGCCCCUGACCGGGGUUGCGGACAGUGUCUGGUGGGUAGUUUGACUGGGGCGGUCUCCUCCCAAAGCGUAACGGAGGAGCACGAAGGUUAGCUAAUCCUGGUCGGACAUCAGGAGGUUAGUGCAAUGGCAUAAGCUAGCUUGACUGCGAGCGUGACGGCGCGAGCAGGUGCGAAAGCAGGUCAUAGUGAUCCGGUGGUUCUGAAUGGAAGGGCCAUCGCUCAACGGAUAAAAGGUACUCCGGGGAUAACAGGCUGAUACCGCCCAAGAGUUCAUAUCGACGGCGGUGUUUGGCACCUCGAUGUCGGCUCAUCACAUCCUGGGGCUGAAGUAGGUCCCAAGGGUAUGGCUGUUCGCCAUUUAAAGUGGUACGCGAGCUGGGUUUAGAACGUCGUGAGACAGUUCGGUCCCUAUCUGCCGUGGGCGCUGGAGAAUUGAGGGGGGCUGCUCCUAGUACGAGAGGACCGGAGUGGACGCAUCACUGGUGUUCGGGUUGUCAUGCCAAUGGCACUGCCCGGUAGCUAAAUGCGGAAGAGAUAAGUGCUGAAAGCAUCUAAGCACGAAACUUGCCCCGAGAUGAGUUCUCCCUGAGACUUUAAGUCUCCUGAAGGAACGUUAAAGACGAUGACGUUGAUAGGCCGGGUGUGUAAGCGCAGCGAUGCGUUGAGCUAACCGGUACUAAUGAACCGUGAGGCUUAACCUUAC
Molecule: ribosomal RNA, 2904 nt
Filed under: Klebsiella pneumoniae subsp. pneumoniae KPNIH11
Lineage: Bacteria; Pseudomonadati; Pseudomonadota; Gammaproteobacteria; Enterobacterales; Enterobacteriaceae
Description: bacterial LSU rRNA
Rfam family: Bacterial large subunit ribosomal RNA
Source: RNAcentral